CUUGGGCUCUGCACUCUGUACCCCCCACCUUCCUCUUUGGGAAAAAGAUCUUUCUUUGGCAUGGAGAGGCACAGCAUGGAGCAUGCCCAGCUGAAUUUCCAGACAUGCUGGGGACUUCCCGCAGCUCCUCCUGGGCUCAGGGAGUGCAAGCAGGCUUUGGAAUCGCCUCGAUCCUCACCUGGGCCAGCACCCUCCACUCUCCAGGCUUUUCCUCCUCCCCAGGUCCUCAGGAGCCUGCCCUGAUCCAUCCCUUGGGACCUCUAUCCAAAC
This 270-nucleotide long non-coding RNA is filed under the name Chinchilla lanigera (long-tailed chinchilla). Its description in RNAcentral is "lncRNA (ENSCLAG00000022372.1)". The record is from RNAcentral. Lineage: Eukaryota; Metazoa; Chordata; Mammalia; Rodentia; Chinchillidae.